This 987-nucleotide long non-coding RNA is filed under the name Chinchilla lanigera (long-tailed chinchilla). Its description in RNAcentral is "lncRNA (ENSCLAG00000028075.1)". Lineage: Eukaryota; Metazoa; Chordata; Mammalia; Rodentia; Chinchillidae. The record is from RNAcentral.
CUGGGAUGACAGGCAUUCACCACCACACCUUGCGUGUAACUCUGGCUCUUGACUUCCAGGGUCUUUGAGCAGGGCCUUUCCUAUGGACCACAGCGGAUGGAGGACAGUGGCCCCGUGACCACCACUUGUGUUUCCAGCACGGGCUGCUGUGUUGACAGUUUCUUAUUCCUCUCAGCAGCUGUCAGUGACAUUGCUGAUCCCCGAGGGACAGGUGAGGAUGCAGGACUCCGGGUGGCUGAGCGAGACUUCCAAGCUGACAUUUACCCAGCGCUGACUGGCUGCGAGGCUGUCCCAGUGCCCUCCCACGACACCUCCUAGCUGGCGUCACCCUUGUUGGGGCAGCGCCCCUCGGGUUCCCCGACAGUCUACAGAAGCAAGAGUGCUCCGUACGGCAGCACCCCACAGACCCCCCAGGGCCCUGGAAGACACCAGAGACCGCGAAUGAAACAGCACUGGGGUUCCUUCUCCAGCAAGCGCAGCCACCGUCAGGGACAUACGGAGGCAAACGCCGCCAGGUGCAGGGAAAGCGGGCCUGUGCCACGUUGCCGGUGAGACUGGAGAUGCGGACGCUAGUGUGGACGAUCCACGCACACCCGUGUUUACAGCAGCACAAUUACUCACAACCGCUAGAUCUUGGAAGCAGCCUACGUGUCCAUCAACAGACGACGGUGUACAGAACGUGCGGUGUUAACACGCUGUGGAGUACUACUCUGCCACAAAGAAGGAUGAACUUGCGGCACUGGUAGGGAAAUGGGUGGAUGCACCUUGAGGCCAUAACGUGAAGGGAAAUAAACCAGACGCACAGGUUUAAGAAGCACGUGUUUUCUCUUGGAUGGGAAACCCAGAGCGUGAGGAAACUGAACUGCGAAAGAAAAGCUAGUAGGAAGCGGGGAGAUAGAUCUUCCCUACAUGGGAAGGAGCCCAAGCGACGGGGGAGGGGAGCAGGAAGGGAGGGAGAGAACAAAAGGACAGACGCCUUCCGCAUGC